CCUACGGGUGGCAACAGUGGGGAAUAUUGCACAAUGGGGGAAACCCUGAUGCAGCGACGCCGCGUGAGUGAAGAAGUAUUUCGGUAUGUAAAGCUCUAUCAGCAGGAACGAGACAAGACGGUACCUGACUCAGACGCCCCGGCUAACUACGUGCCAGCAGCCGCGGUAAGACGUAGGGGGCAAGCGUUAUCCGGAAUCACUGGGUGUAAAGGGAGCGUAGACGGCUGAGCAAGCCUGAAGGGAAAGGCGGGGGCCCAACCCCCGGACUGCUUUGGGAACUGUACGGCUGGAGUGCAGGAGAGGUAAGUGGAAUGCCUAGUGUAGCGGUGAAAUGCGGAGAUAUUAGGAGGAACACCAGUGGCGAAGGCGGCUUACUGGACUGUAACUGACGUUGAGGCUCGAAAGCGUGGGGAGCAAACAGGAUUAGAUACCCGGGUAGUC
Molecule: ribosomal RNA, 441 nt
Filed under: uncultured bacterium
Lineage: Bacteria
Description: partial 16S ribosomal RNA
Rfam family: Bacterial small subunit ribosomal RNA
Source: RNAcentral